UGACCUCGGAUCAGGUAGGGUUACCCGCUGAACUUAAGCAUAUCAAUAAGCGGAGGAAAAGAAACCCAACCA
This 72-nucleotide ribosomal RNA is filed under the name Scedosporium aurantiacum. RNAcentral describes it as "partial 28S ribosomal RNA". It matches the Rfam family "Eukaryotic large subunit ribosomal RNA", at positions 1 to 71 of the family's 3401-position model. Lineage: Eukaryota; Fungi; Ascomycota; Sordariomycetes; Microascales; Microascaceae. The record is from RNAcentral.